GAAAUGCGAUAAGUAAUGUGAAUUGCAGAAUUCAGUGAAUCAUCGAAUCUUUGAACGCACCUUGCGCUCCUUGGUAUUCCUUGGAGCAUGCCUGUUUGAGUAUCAUGAAAUCUUCAAAGUAAAUCUUUGUUAACUCAAUUGGUUUCUACUUUGGUAUUGGAGGUCUUUGCAGCUUCACACCUGCUCCUCUUUGUUCAUUAGCUGGAUCUCAGUGUUAUGCUUGGUUCCACUCGGCGUGAUAAGUUAUCUAUCGCUGAGGACACUGUAAAAGGUGGCCAAGGUAAAUGCAGAUGAACCGCUUCUAAUAGUCCAUUGACUUGGACAAUACUUUUAUGAUCUGAUCUCAAAUCAGGUAGGACUACCCGCUGAACUUAAGC
Molecule: unclassified non-coding RNA, 377 nt
Filed under: plant metagenome
Description: partial contains 5.8S ribosomal RNA, internal transcribed spacer 2, and large subunit ribosomal RNA
Rfam family: 5.8S ribosomal RNA (bases 1-105)
Source: RNAcentral